Arachis ipaensis is the source of this 243-nucleotide non-coding RNA. Lineage: Eukaryota; Viridiplantae; Streptophyta; Magnoliopsida; Fabales; Fabaceae. The record is from RefSeq and is a predicted model, not a curated record.
CUGCUACAAUGACAGUAAGUUUUGGACAUUCAUGGACCAGCUCUAGCUUUAGUUCUUGAGAAGCUGAAACCAUAUGGAGGCCUUCAAGAAUCAUUUGAGUCUGCUAAGGCAGUUUCAGUGGGUGUAUCAAAAAGUGUUCAAAAGGCUGGGAAAUCAACUGCUAAUGGUGUUCCAAAACACGAAAAUAAAGCUGCAUCUUGGCGGGCUGUUGCAACAAAGGGUGCUAGGUCUGAGCCUAUAUCU